Molecule: ribosomal RNA, 486 nt
Filed under: uncultured bacterium
Lineage: Bacteria
Description: partial 16S ribosomal RNA
Rfam family: Bacterial small subunit ribosomal RNA
Source: RNAcentral
AUUGAACGCUGGCGGCAUGCCUUACACAUGCAAGUCGAACGGCAGCACGGGUGCUUGCACCUGGUGGCGAGUGGCGAACGGGUGAGUAAUACAUCGGAACAUGUCCUGUAGUGGGGGAUAGGCCGGCGAAAGCCGGAUUAAUACCGCAUACGAUCUACGGAGGAAAGCGGGGGACCUUCGGGCCUCGCGCUAUAGGGUUGGCCGAUGGCGGAUUAGCUAGUUGGUGGGGUAAAGGCCUACCAAGGCGACGAUCAGUAGCUGGUCUGAGAGGACGACCAGCCACACUGGGACUGAGACACGGCCCAGACUCCUACGGGAGGCAGCAGUGGGGAAUUUUGGACAAAGGGCGAAAGCCUGAUCCAGCAAUGCCGCGUGUGUGAAGAAGGCCUUCGGGUUGUAAAGCACUUUUGUCCGGAAAGAAAUCCUUGGCCCUAAUACGGUCGGGGGAUGACGGUACCGGAAGAAUAAGCACCGGCUAACUACGUG